AUUGAACGCUGGCGGCAUGCUUUACACAUGCAAGUCGAACGGCAGCGCGGGCUUCGGCCUGGCGGCGGGUGGCGAACGGGUGAGUAAUACAUCGGAACGUGCCCAGUAGCGGGGGCUAGCGCGGCGAAAGCCGGAUUAAUACCGCAUACGACCUGAGGGUGAAAGCGGGGGAUCUUCGGACCUCGCGCUAUUGGAGCGGCCGAUGGCAGAUUAGCUAGUUGGUGGGGUAACGGCCUACCAAGGCGACGAUCUGUAGCUGGUCUGAGAGGAAGACCAGCCACACUGGAACUGAGACACGGCCCAGACUCCUACGGGAGGCAGCAGUGGGGAAUGUUGGACAAUGGGCGAAAGCCUGAUCCAGCAAUGCCGCGUGUGUGAUGAAGGCCUUCGGGUUGUAAAGCACUUUUGGCGGGAACGAAAAGGACUGUGCCAAUACCACGGUUUGAUGACGGUACCCGCAGAAUAAGCACCGGCUAACUACGUG
RNAcentral lists this ribosomal RNA (484 nucleotides) under uncultured bacterium. RNAcentral's name for it is "partial 16S ribosomal RNA". It matches the Rfam family "Bacterial small subunit ribosomal RNA", at positions 29 to 507 of the family's 1533-position model. The record is from RNAcentral.